AAUGUACUCCCUCCGUCCCAAAAUUCUUUUGUUAUAUUUGUCUACACACGGAUGUAUCUACUCACGUUUUAGUGUUAGAUACAUCCGUAUCUAGAUAAAUCUAAGACAAGAAUUUUGAGACGGACGGAGUAGUAA
This is a non-coding RNA of Triticum aestivum (bread wheat), 135 nucleotides long. NCBI's taxonomy places the organism in Eukaryota, Viridiplantae, Streptophyta, Magnoliopsida, Poales, Poaceae. The record is from Rfam.